RNAcentral lists this long non-coding RNA (202 nucleotides) under Mytilus galloprovincialis (Mediterranean mussel). The record is from RNAcentral. Lineage: Eukaryota; Metazoa; Mollusca; Bivalvia; Mytilida; Mytilidae.
CGUUUUCUUGUUAUUUAGAUGUUAAUAUUUUAUUUUGGAUGGAUAGCUGUUUAUCGUAUUCAAUUUGUGUCAAAUAAAUGAAUAUUCAGGACAAAAAUAUGAUAACGUUACUUAUCGGUCGUCCAACUGUUUAUAUGAUUCUGCUUAGCUCUUUAUAAAUGAAUAUCACGGCUUUGUAAAGUCAACUACGUUUACCUGGCCC